RNAcentral lists this ribosomal RNA (497 nucleotides) under uncultured bacterium. RNAcentral's name for it is "partial 16S ribosomal RNA". It matches the Rfam family "Bacterial small subunit ribosomal RNA", at positions 28 to 507 of the family's 1533-position model. The record is from RNAcentral.
GAUGAACGCUGGCGGCGUGCCUAAUACAUGCAAGUCGAGCGAACGGACGAGAAGCUUGCUUCUCUGAUGUUAGCGGCGGACGGGUGAGUAACACGUGGAUAACCUACCUAUAAGACUGGGAUAACUUCGGGAAACCGGAGCUAAUACCGGAUAAUAUUUUGAACCGCAUGGUUCAAAAGUGAAAGACGGUCUUGCUGUCACUUAUAGAUGGAUCCGCGCUGCAUUAGCUAGUUGGUACGGUACCGGCUUACCAAGGCAACGAUGCAUAGCCGACCUGAGAGGGUGAUCGGCCACACUGGAACUGAGACACGGUCCAGACUCCUACGGGAGGCAGCAGUAGGGAAUCUUCCGCAAUGGGCGAAAGCCUGACGGAGCAACGCCGAGUGAGUGAUGAAGGUCUUCGGAUCGUAAAACUCUGUUAUUAGGGAAGAACAUAUGUGUAAGUAACUGUGCACAUCUUGACGGUACCUAAUCAGAAAGCCACGGCUAACUACGUG